UACGGAAGGCAGCAGUGGGGAAUAUUGCACAAUGGGCGCAAGCCUGAUGCAGCCAUGCCGCGUGUAUGAAGAAGGCCUUCGGGUUGUAAAGUACUUUCAGUCAUGAGGAAGGUGUUAAGGUUAAUAACCUUAGCAAUUGACGUUAGCGACAGAAGAAGCACCGGCUAACUCCGUGCCAGCAGCCGCGGUAAUACGGAGGGUGCGAGCGUUAAUCGGAAUUACUGGGCGUAAAGGGCACGCAGGCGGUUAAUUAAGUUGGAUGUGAAAUCCCCGGGCUUAACCUGGGAAUGGCAUUCAAGACUGGUUAGCUAGAGUCUUGUAGAGGGGGUAGAAUUCCAUGUGUAGCGGUGAAAUGCGUAGAGAUGUGGAGGAAUACCGGUGGCGAAGGCGGCCCCUGGGACAAAGACUGACGCUCAUGUGCGAAAGCGUGGGGAGCAAACAGGGAUUAGAUACC
This 454-nucleotide ribosomal RNA is filed under the name uncultured bacterium. Its description in RNAcentral is "bacterial SSU rRNA". It matches the Rfam family "Bacterial small subunit ribosomal RNA", at positions 340 to 786 of the family's 1533-position model. The record is from RNAcentral.